UCACUGUCAGCCUUAGUCAGAACACGAAGUGCUCCUAGUUGGUAGUUUCCCUACAGCAUUAGGUUUUAGCCUGAACUAUCACAGGACUUUGUAAUUUCUACAUUUUUGAGAAGCCUGAACUAUGGCCACAUGAGAAGCAUCUCUAAAGUCCUGUUGAUGGAAGAAGCCACCAUGCAGGGCAUGGGACCUAGAAACUCUCGGGGACUGGUCAAGAGCACUGGGCUACACCUCACAGGGUAAACUCUGAGACCAGAUGGUAGCGCUCUGGAGUAA
Molecule: long non-coding RNA, 273 nt
Filed under: Fukomys damarensis (Damara mole-rat)
Lineage: Eukaryota; Metazoa; Chordata; Mammalia; Rodentia; Bathyergidae
Description: lncRNA (ENSFDAG00000030061.1)
Source: RNAcentral